ACAUACGACCAUUGGAAACUGAGAGCUAGCCAUCCCGUCCGAUCUGGCAUAUAUAAGCAGUUUACCGGCGGAUUAGUAGUUAGGUGGGUGACCACUAGCGAAUCCCCGCUGUCGUAUGUU
Bipolaris zeicola 26-R-13 is the source of this 120-nucleotide ribosomal RNA. Lineage: Eukaryota; Fungi; Ascomycota; Dothideomycetes; Pleosporales; Pleosporaceae. The record is from Rfam.